UGAUGAUAGCCAUUCUGACAUGUGUGAGGUGAACUCUCAUUGUGGUUUUAAUUUGCAUCUCUGUGAUGAUUAAUGACUUUGAGCAUCUUUUCUUAUGUCUAUUGGCCAUCUGUAGGUCCUCUUUGGAGGAGUGUUUAUACAGGUCAUUUGCC
Pipistrellus kuhlii (Kuhl's pipistrelle) is the source of this 152-nucleotide long non-coding RNA. RefSeq lists it as uncharacterized. Lineage: Eukaryota; Metazoa; Chordata; Mammalia; Chiroptera; Vespertilionidae. The transcript is spliced from 3 exons. The record is from RefSeq and is a predicted model, not a curated record.